Molecule: long non-coding RNA, 1285 nt
Organism: Oncorhynchus tshawytscha (Chinook salmon)
Lineage: Eukaryota; Metazoa; Chordata; Actinopteri; Salmoniformes; Salmonidae
Source: Ensembl
CUCCCCCCACUUACACACGCACAUUUUUGAGUAACUCUUUCACUGAAUGUGGAGAAUGGACUAUGACCAGCUAGCUCUCUGACACACAGCUUGAUGAUGGCAAUGACGCCUCUACUGAGGACAGUCCAGAGCCUCCAAAGGAACCACAAGGACCACUGAAGGACCAUCGACUGGUAGGCAUCUCUUAAAUUUGUGUGUGCGCUCGUCACAUCUCAGUGUUUUGACCCUAUAUCUGUUGAGAUUAUUGUGGCCAAGCCCAACAUCCUUCUCUCUGCCUCUGUGAGUGACCUGAAGAAGGUGUCACGCCAGAUGGAGGUGGUCCCCACUGUCUGGCCCUGCAGGCAGCAGCUGGACAAGUGGACAAACACUAACGAGGAGAGUCUGAGGAGGAUCAAAGAGAACCUGACCUCAAUAGAACUCAACCUGGAGGAAGGUCUGAAGACGCACAAUGAUGGUGAGGACAUCAACCAAGAGGCAGCAGAAGAAUGAGAGAUGCUGUAGAGGAUGGAUUGCAAAGUGGAUGGGGAGGAGGAAGGAGAGACUGAGGGAUGAAGACGUGGCUACGAAGAUCAAGAGGAUGGGCGAGCAGGUGAGGGCACUGAUCCAAGUGAUGAAGAGAAACUGCAGUGAAGGUGAUCUUAAGGCAGUAGACCUGGACAGUUGGCUGAAUGACUUGGAGGUUGAAAGUGGCAUUCAAGAAAUGCACAGGAGAGAUGGCCGAAAAUAUAGACAGCAUGGCAGAAAUACAGACCAGUAUAGCCGAGAACAGGCUCAAGUCAUAAAAAAAGAACAAUGUCCAGAGCUUUGUAAGUUACUCCUACUUAUUGAGUGUAGUCAAGGUCCUAAACGAUAUCUUAACCACCAUUGAUAAGAAACAAGUCUUUAGACUCUGUCAAUCACCACAUCCUCAUCGGCAGACUCGACAGCCUUGGUUUCUCAAAUGAUUGCCUCGCCUGGAUCACCAACAACUUCUCUGAUAAGAGUUCAAUGUGUCAAAUCGGAGGGUCUGCUGUCCGGACCUCUGGCAGUCUCUAUGGGGGUGCCACAGGGUUCAAUUCUUGGACCGACUCUCUUCUCUGUAUACAUAAAUGAUGUUGCCCUUGCUGCUGGUUAGUCUUUGAUCCACCUCUACGCAGACGACACCAUUCUGUAUAUUUCUGGCCCUUCUUUGGACACUGUGUUAACAACCCUCCAGGCAAGCUUCAAUGCCAUACAACUCUCCUUCCGUGGCCUCCAAUUGCUCUUAAAUACAAGUAAAACUAAAUGCAUGCUCUUCAACCGAUUG